RNAcentral lists this ribosomal RNA (525 nucleotides) under Triticum aestivum (bread wheat). RNAcentral's name for it is "partial small subunit ribosomal RNA". The record is from RNAcentral. Lineage: Eukaryota; Viridiplantae; Streptophyta; Magnoliopsida; Poales; Poaceae.
GAAAGAGUAAAGAACCGCUCUCAAUUUCGACUCUCUCCCUCCGCUAAGAACCGCUAAAGGAGCAGCAGGUACUGACACUUAAUUGUUACUACCUCUUCUUCCUAACAAACGUAAUCUAUCUACUACUUGACGAAAAAAGUGUGAUACCUAUCCCGUCACAGAUACAACCAAGUCACACAUCAGUAGACAUACUAUCCUUCACAGUUCACACAUACAACCAAGUCGACAAAAAAAGAAAAGUUUUUCCUCCUAACGGGGGCCGGAGACGUAGCGUUACAACCAAGUCAACACAGAGAUAUUAGACAUCUUCUGUGAUCCAUGAUAUGAACGUUCCAAAAGAAUGACAUUAAAGUUCCAAAAAGUGGACGAACAGUACUUACGUUUACCCAAGUCAGGUUGGGCGCAUAUAUGUAUGGUUGAGUACUGAGUCCCGACGUUUGCCCACAGAAACUCUAAGUUGUUCAAGGCCAGUAUUACAGUGACAUUAUUAGUGUGUUAUACUCACAUGCAAUACGUAUUUAUGUG